RNAcentral lists this ribosomal RNA (253 nucleotides) under uncultured bacterium. RNAcentral describes it as "partial 16S ribosomal RNA". It matches the Rfam family "Bacterial small subunit ribosomal RNA", at positions 524 to 776 of the family's 1533-position model. The record is from RNAcentral.
UACGUAGGUGGCAAGCGUUGUCCGGAAUUACUGGGCGUAAAGGGCGUGUCGGCGGGGCGGCAAGUCAGAUGUGAAAUCCCAUGGCUUAACUGUGGAGCUGCAUCUGAAACUGUCGUUCUUGAGUGUCGGAGAGGAAAGUGGAAUUCCCAGUGUAGCGGUGAAAUGCGUAGAGAUUGGGAGGAACACCAGUGGCGAAGGCGGCUUUCUGGACGAUAACUGACGCUGAGGCGCGAAAGCGUGGGGAGCAAACAGG